CAUUGAAGGAAGCUAAAAAUAUAGCAGGUGCAUCUUUUCACAACAACAGCUUUCCAACAUAAGAUAGAGAAAAGGUGCAUGCAGGAAAGGUAGAUAGAUGGAUAAACUUGUAAAGUUUUUUCUAUAAAGAAAAGUGUGUAACAAUAAAAAAAGUCGAACGAUUUACAAGACGACAGAAAGUUCUGCGCGAAGGUAUAAUUUGAAAUGACAUUUGGAACAAGACAAAAUUAGAGCAAAAGAGAAAGUUUAAGCUCAUCCAACAAAAUUGGGUAAAACUUUAAAUGUUUCAGUGAGAAUUUUCUUAUAUGUCGCACUGCAAAGAAUUUCAAUGUAUAGAGUACAGAUCUUUCAACUUUUUUUUUGUAUUUGAAAAAGCUUAAAGCAAAAUAAAAUUUUUAAUUCUUCUUCUCGAAA
Xenia sp. Carnegie-2017 is the source of this 414-nucleotide long non-coding RNA. RefSeq lists it as uncharacterized. Lineage: Eukaryota; Metazoa; Cnidaria; Anthozoa; Malacalcyonacea; Xeniidae. The record is from RefSeq and is a predicted model, not a curated record. The transcript is spliced from 2 exons.